AGAGAGAGACAUGCGCGCAUAUCAAUAAGCGGAGGAAAAGAAACUAACAAGGAUUCCCUUAGUAACGGCGAGUGAAGCGGGAAGAGCUCAAAUUUGAAAUCUUCAAGGUUUUACCUUGACGAAUUGUAGUUUAAAGAAGUGUUUUCUGCUGAAGUUUUGGUAAAAGUUCUUUGGAAUAGGACAUCAUAGAGGGUGAGAAUCCCGUAUUUGACCAUUAUUUUCAGCUUUGUGAUACACUUUCAAAGAGUCGGAUUGUUUGGGGAUGCAGUCCAAAAUGGGUGGUAAAUUUCAUCUAAAGCUAAAUAUUGGCGAGAGACCGAUAGCGAACAAGUACCGUGAGGGAAAGAUGAAAAGAACUUUGAAAAGAGAGUUAAACAGUACGUGAAAUUGUCAAAAGGGAAGCGUUUGACACCAGUGUUGUUUUCUCGAAAAUCAAUUAAAAAUGGCUCGAUUUUGUAUUGCUUGAGACCUUAAAAGCUCACUGUACAUUUUUCGUGUCUUUUUUAAUGCACUUUUCGUUUAACAAGUCAACAUCAGUUUCUUUUGUUGUAAAAGGGUCAUUGGAAGGUGGCUUUCUUUUCGGAGAAAGUGUUUAUAGCCUUUGGCCUCUGCAAUCGGAGAGACUGAGGUCUGCAGCGUAGACUCUUCGGGGUUAGAUAGCAUUUGUGCUAAGUUAUAGCUUUCUAUAGACAACUUGUUGACUAUAAUUAGUCUUGUAGCUUACUCGCUUAUGCUAUUUUACCUACGCUUAGGAUGUUGAGUCGUAGAGCACGCAG
This 776-nucleotide ribosomal RNA is filed under the name uncultured Neocallimastigales. Its description in RNAcentral is "partial large subunit ribosomal RNA". It matches the Rfam family "Eukaryotic large subunit ribosomal RNA", at positions 23 to 626 of the family's 3401-position model. The record is from RNAcentral. Lineage: Eukaryota; Fungi; Neocallimastigomycota; Neocallimastigomycetes; Neocallimastigales.